AUUGAACGCUGGCGGCAUGCCUUACACAUGCAAGUCGAACGGUAACGCGGGGCAACCUGGCGACGAGUGGCGAACGGGUGAGUAAUGCAUCGGAACGUGCCCAGUAGUGGGGGAUAGCCCGGCCAAAGCCGGAUUAAUACCGCAUACGACCUACGGGUGAAAGCGGGGGACCGUAAGGCCGCGCGCUAUUGGAGCGGCCGAUAUCGGAUUGGGUUGUUGGUGGGGUAAAGGCCUACCAAGCCGACGACCUGUAGCUGGUCUGAGAGGACGACCAGCCACACUGGGACUGAGACACGGCCCAGACUCCUACGGGAGGCAGCAGUGGGGAAUUUUGGACAAUGGGGGCAACCCUGAUCCAGCCAUGCCGCGUGCGGGAAGAAGGCCUUCGGGUUGUAAACCGCUUUUGUCAGGGAAGAAACGCUCUGGGCUAAUACCCUGGGGUAAUGACGGUACCUGAAGAAUAAGCACCGGCUAACUACGUGCCAGCCGCCGCCGUAA
This 498-nucleotide ribosomal RNA is filed under the name uncultured bacterium. RNAcentral describes it as "partial 16S ribosomal RNA". It matches the Rfam family "Bacterial small subunit ribosomal RNA", at positions 29 to 523 of the family's 1533-position model. The record is from RNAcentral.